Oncorhynchus gorbuscha (pink salmon) is the source of this 360-nucleotide long non-coding RNA. RefSeq lists it as uncharacterized. Lineage: Eukaryota; Metazoa; Chordata; Actinopteri; Salmoniformes; Salmonidae. The transcript is spliced from 4 exons. The record is from RefSeq and is a predicted model, not a curated record.
UUUCAGAUCACUCUUUUCAUUCAUUUUUCUGCUGCUGCUGUUCUGUAGAAUCCAGAGAGAUCAGCACCCAUGUCAGCCUGGAUAGUGGAUCUGGAUCUCUGUGUUUUCACACUAGGAGGCACCCGGGACAUGCUAACAGGACGGAUCGGUCCAGGAGGAAGCUGCCUCCCCCUCCUCCAGAUAACGAGGACGGAGACAUACUAGUGGUUGCCAUGUAUGACUUUACAGCGAAAGAGGACACGGACCUGACUUUGACUCAGGGAGACGAGUACACCAUCCUACACAAACAGGACCAGCUGUGGUGGAGGGCACAGGACAAACACGGAAAUAAGGGAUUUAUCCCCAGCAACUAUGUUACAG